This 393-nucleotide ribosomal RNA is filed under the name uncultured bacterium. RNAcentral describes it as "partial 16S ribosomal RNA". It matches the Rfam family "Bacterial small subunit ribosomal RNA", at positions 523 to 918 of the family's 1533-position model. The record is from RNAcentral.
AUACGGAGGAUGCGAGCGUUAUCCGGAUUUAUUGGGUUUAAAGGGUGCGUAGGCGGACGAUUAAGUCAGCUGUGAAAUGCCCGCGCUUAACGCGGGAAGUGCAGUUGAUACUGGUUGUCUGGAGUGCCGUUGCCGUGGGGGGAAUGUGUAGUGUAGCGGUGAAAUGCAUAGAUAUUACACAGAACGCCGAUUGUGAAGACACCUCACGAAGCGGUAACUGACGCUGAGGCACGAAAGCGUGGGGAUCGAACAGGAUUAGAUACCCUGGUAGUCCACGCAGUAAACGAUGAUGACUAACCGUCGGCGAUACACAGUCGGUGGCCAAGCGAAAGCGAUAAGUCAUCCACCUGGGGAGUACGUUCGCAAGAAUGAAACUCAAAUGAAUUGGCGGGG